Molecule: long non-coding RNA, 605 nt
Filed under: Pan troglodytes (chimpanzee)
Lineage: Eukaryota; Metazoa; Chordata; Mammalia; Primates; Hominidae
Description: lincRNA
Source: RNAcentral
CCCUGCAGGCACAUACAAGGUUUCCAGAAGUUCCCCAGUCAUUGAGCAUUUCUGAGGCUCUUGAUGCAUAUGCCAAGUAGUUAUGGAGAAAGACACAGCAGCUUACCUCUGCAGGCAUCAUUGUGUGAAAGGAAGACCCAGGCUCUCUCACCACCCUUCAACAGAAGCCUUUUGCUAAGGUGAUAGCUACAUGUCCAAGCCUAUUGCGUGGCAUGCAUUUUGCCUUCUGCAGCCCACUAAAGGAAAUUGAGGUAUACGGAAUGCUUAUUUGGUUUACUCAGUAUCAUCCUAAAUGUAUGUACCAAUGCUUAGGAGUUUGCAGUUCACCCGCAAACCUCAGCGAUCCAAGCUCCCCUGGAUGACCAUCACUCACCAAGAAAAGAACAAUAACAGGACCUGUUUUGCUAAUCCAGGACUGUUCUCCAGCACUAACUCUAAAUAAUCCCUUCUGCUAGAGUCCACUUUCUGGAACCUGUUGCCUCCGUUUUCAACGUUUCCCAAACUUGGUCCGUUGUGUGAGCUGGCUGAUAAAAGUUCCAGGGAGAGGACAUCUUACUCUUAUUGGAUCAUGCACAGUGCCUGAAGCAUUCUGUUGCAUGUAGAAA